Molecule: transfer RNA, 72 nt
Filed under: Trichonephila inaurata madagascariensis
Lineage: Eukaryota; Metazoa; Arthropoda; Arachnida; Araneae; Nephilidae
Rfam family: tRNA
About the family: Transfer RNA (tRNA) molecules are approximately 80 nucleotides in length. Their secondary structure includes four short double-helical elements and three loops (D, anti-codon, and T loops).
Source: Rfam by way of RNAcentral
GGGGGUAAAUCUCAGUGGUAGAGCAUUCGACUGCAGGUCGAGUGGUCCCCGGUUCAAAUCCGGGAGUCUUCU